RNAcentral lists this ribosomal RNA (315 nucleotides) under Klebsiella quasipneumoniae subsp. similipneumoniae. Its description in RNAcentral is "partial 23S ribosomal RNA". It matches the Rfam family "Bacterial large subunit ribosomal RNA", at positions 1389 to 1706 of the family's 2925-position model. Lineage: Bacteria; Pseudomonadati; Pseudomonadota; Gammaproteobacteria; Enterobacterales; Enterobacteriaceae. The record is from RNAcentral.
CCCUAAGGCGAGGCCGAAAGGCGUAGUCGAUGGGAAACAGGUUAAUAUUCCUGUACUUGGUGUUACUGCGAAGGGGGGACGGAGAAGGCUAUGUUAGCCGGGCGACGGUUGUCCCGGUUUAAGCAUGUAGGCUGGUUAUCCAGGCAAAUCCGGAUAAUCAAGGCUGAGGUGUGAUGACGAAGCACUACGGUGCUGAAGUAACAAAUGCCCUGCUUCCAGGAAAAGCCUCUAAGCAUCAGGUAACAUCAAAUCGUACCCCAAACCGACACAGGUGGUCAGGUAGAGAAUACCAAGGCGCUUGAGAGAACUCGGGUG